Molecule: ribosomal RNA, 497 nt
Filed under: uncultured bacterium
Lineage: Bacteria
Description: partial 16S ribosomal RNA
Rfam family: Bacterial small subunit ribosomal RNA
Source: RNAcentral
GAUGAACGCUGGCGGCGUGCCUAAUACAUGCAAGUCGAGCGAACGGAUGAGAAGCUUGCUUCUCUGAUGUUAGCGGCGGACGGGUGAGUAACACGUGGAUAACCUACCUAUAAGACUGGGAUAACUUCGGGAAACCGGAGCUAAUACCGGAUAAUAUUUUGAACCGCAUGGUUCAAAAGUGAAAGACGGUCUUGCUGUCACUUAUAGCUGGAUCCGCGCUGCAUUAGCUAGUUGGUAAGGUAACGGCUUACCAAGGCAACGAUGCAUAGCCGACCUGAGAGGGUGAUCGGCCACACUGGAACUGAGACACGGUCCAGACUCCUACGGGAGGCAGCAGUAGGGAAUCUUCCGCAAUGGGCGAAAGCCUGACGGAGCAACGCCGCGUGAGUGAUGAAGGUCUUCGGAUCGUAAAACUCUGUUAUUAGGGAAGAACAUAUGUGUAAGUAACUGUGCACAUCUUGACGGUACCUAAUCAGAAAGCCACGGCUAACUACGUG